UGGGGAAUUUUGCACAAUGGGCGCAAGCCUGAUGCAGCGACGCCGCGUGAGGGAUGAAGGCCUUCGGGUUGUAAACCUUUUUCGCUCAUGGUCAAGCCGCAGCUUUGGGUUGUGGUGAGGGUAGUGGGUAAAGAAGCGCCGGCUAACUACGUGCCAGCAGCCGCGGUAAUACGUAGGGCGCGAGCGUUGUCCGGAAUUAUUGGGCGUAAAGGGCUUGUAGGCGGUUGGCCGCGUCUGCCGUGAAAUCCUCUGGCUUAACUGGGGGCGUGCGGUGGGUACGGGUUGACUUGAGUGCGGUAGGGGAGACUGGAAUUCCUGGUGUAGCGGUGGAAUGCGCAGAUAUCAGGAGGAACACCGGUGGCGAAGGCGGGUGUCUGGGCCGUUACUGACGCUGAGGAGCGAAAGCGUGGGGAGCGAACAGG
This 422-nucleotide ribosomal RNA is filed under the name Verrucomicrobiota bacterium. RNAcentral describes it as "Verrucomicrobia bacterium partial 16S ribosomal RNA". It matches the Rfam family "Bacterial small subunit ribosomal RNA", at positions 355 to 776 of the family's 1533-position model. Lineage: Bacteria; Pseudomonadati; Verrucomicrobiota. The record is from RNAcentral.